Molecule: long non-coding RNA, 285 nt
Organism: Clupea harengus (Atlantic herring)
Lineage: Eukaryota; Metazoa; Chordata; Actinopteri; Clupeiformes; Clupeidae
Exons: 3
Source: RefSeq, a predicted model, not a curated record
CUGUUCAUACUUGGACAUGCUAGCUGACUGCAGGAGGGCAGGUUCAGACUUCUGUCUACCACACCAUCACAGUGAAAGGUGUUCAACCCACAACUUCCUCUACCUUUGUAUUGAAAUCCUCUCCCAGAAUGAAUACUUUCACCACUGCUUCCUCAAACUCAGGCCCAUCAGUUUCCUCAGAUGUUCCUCUGGUUGCUGUAGUUGUUGUCUCUGUCAGUCUGUUGGCUGCUGCAUUGAUGAUAAUUGUGAUAUGCAAGAAAAGGACAAGUGAGUGUGUAACAUGCA